RNAcentral lists this ribosomal RNA (206 nucleotides) under uncultured bacterium. Its description in RNAcentral is "partial 16S ribosomal RNA". It matches the Rfam family "Bacterial small subunit ribosomal RNA", at positions 1294 to 1500 of the family's 1533-position model. The record is from RNAcentral.
CGGAUUGUAGUCUGCAACUCGACUGCAUGAAGCUGGAAUCGCUAGUAAUCGCGAAUCAGAAUGUCGCGGUGAAUACGUUCCCGGGCCUUGUACACACCGCCCGUCACACCAUGAGAGUCGAUAACACCCGAAGCCUGUGAGCUAACUUAAAGAGGCAGCAGUCGAAGGUAGAGCCAAUGAUUGGGGUGAAGUCGUAACAAGGUACC